RNAcentral lists this ribosomal RNA (496 nucleotides) under uncultured bacterium. RNAcentral's name for it is "partial 16S ribosomal RNA". It matches the Rfam family "Bacterial small subunit ribosomal RNA", at positions 28 to 523 of the family's 1533-position model. The record is from RNAcentral.
GAUGAACGCUGGCGGCGUGCUUAACACAUGCAAGUCGAACGAAGCAUUUAGAACAGAUUAUUUCGGUAUGAAGUUCUUUAUGACUGAGUGGCGGACGGGUGAGUAACGCGUGGGUAACCUGCCUUGUACUGGGGGAUAGCAGCUGGAAACGGCUGGUAAUACCGCAUAAGCGCACAAUGUUGCAUGACAUGGUGUGAAAAACUCCGGUGGGAUAAGAUGGACCCGCGUCUGAUUAGCUAGUUGGUGAGAUAACAGCCCACCAAGGCGACGGUCAGUAGCCGAGCUGAGGGGGUGACCGGCCACAUUGGGACUGAGACACGGCCCAGACUCCUACGGAGGCAGCAGUGGGGAAUAUUGCACAAUGGAGGAAACUCUGAUGCAGCGACGCCGCGUGAGUGAAGAAGUAAUUCGUUAUGUAAAGCUCUAUCAGCAGGGAAGAUAGUGACGGUACCUGACUAAGAAGCUCCGGCUAAAUACGUGCCAGCCGCCGCCGUAA